RNAcentral lists this long non-coding RNA (237 nucleotides) under Gossypium raimondii (Peruvian cotton). Its description in RNAcentral is "long non-coding RNA (GRAI_LNC009476)". Lineage: Eukaryota; Viridiplantae; Streptophyta; Magnoliopsida; Malvales; Malvaceae. The record is from RNAcentral.
GUUGACGGUGUAAUCGUGGCGGAGAGGUGGCAGACUAGCGGCGAAGGGUGAGAGAGGUUUAAUUUUUUUUUCUUUUCUUUUUUUCUCUGAUAGCCUAAUAGAGCUUUGAAAUAUUCUGGUUUUAGGGUUUUGAAGGGCAUUUAUACUGGGUAUAAAAUGACACCGUUUAGGCCCAUGCCAAUGGCUUUAAAACGGUGCCGUAUUGGCGUUCACCCGAUGACCCGACCCAGAUGCGGC